ACUGCUCAGUAACACGUGGAUAACCUGCCCUUGGGUCCGGCAUAACUCCGGGAAACUGGAGAUAAUUCCGGAUAACGCACAUAUGCUGGAAUGCUUUAUGCGUAAAAUGGAUUCGUCUGCCCAAGGAUGGGUCUGCGGCCUAUCAGGUAGUAGUGGGUGUAAUGUACCUACUAGCCAACAACGGGUACGGGUUGUGAGAGCAAGAGCCCGGAGAUGGAUUCUGAGACAUGAAUCCAGGCCCUACGGGGCGCAGCAGGCGCGAAAACUUUACAAUGCGGGAAACCGUGAUAAGGGGACACCGAGUGCUAGCAUCAUAUGCUGGCUGUCCAGGUGUGUAAAAUACACCUGUUAGCAAGGGCCGGGCAAGACCGGUGCCAGCCGCCGCGGUAACACCGGCGGCCCGAGUGGUGAUCGUGAUUAUUGGGUCUAAAGGGUCCGUAGCCGGUUUGGUCAGUCCUCCGGGAAAUCUGAUAGCUCAACUAUUAGGCUUUCGGGGGAUACUGCCAGGCUUGGAACCGGGAGAGGUAAGAGGUACUACAGGGGUAGGAGUGAAAUCUUGUAAUCCCUGUGGGACCACCUGUGGCGAAGGCGUCUUACCAGAACGGGUUCGACGGUGAGGGACGAAAGCUGGGGGCACGAACCGGAUUAGAUACCCGGGUAGUCCCAGCCGUAAACGAUGCUCGCUAGGUGUCAGGCAUGGCGCGACCGUGUCUGGUGCCGCAGGGAAGCCGUGAAGCGAGCCACCUGGGAAGUACGGCCGCAAGGCUGAAACUUAAAGGAAUUGGCGGGGGAGCAC
Molecule: ribosomal RNA, 796 nt
Filed under: uncultured archaeon
Lineage: Archaea
Description: bacterial SSU rRNA
Rfam family: Archaeal small subunit ribosomal RNA
Source: RNAcentral